AGGUCAAGCAAGAAAGAGCACGAGGUGAAUGCCUUGGCACUGGGAGCCGAUGAAGGACGUGAUAAGCUGCGAAAAGCUUCGGGGAGGCGCACAUAGCCAUUGAGCCGAAGAUGUCCGAAUGGGGGAACCUGCCUAAGAAAACCUUAGGUAUCUGUAUGUAAAUCCAUAGCAUACAGAAGGGAACGCUGCGAGGUGAAUGCCUUGGCACUGGGAGCCGAUGAAGGACGUGAUAAGCUGCGAAAAGCUUCGGGGAGGCGCACAUAGCCAUUGAGCCGAAGAUGUCCGAAUGGGGGAACCUGCCUAAGAAAACCUUAGGUAUCUGUAUGUAAAUCCAUAGCAUACAGAAGGGAACGCUGCGAACUGAAACAUCUAAGUAGCAGUAGGAGGAGAAAGAAAAAUCGAUUUCCUAAGUAGCGGCGAGCGAAAGGGAAAGAGGCCAAACCAGAAGACAUAGUUUUCUGGGGUUGAGGACUGUGUAAGGUAUUGAAUAGAGAUAGUUGAAGUGUUUUGGGAAAGCACACCAAAGAAGGUGAAAGUCCGGUAAACGAAAUUGAAAUUCAGCCGACAGUAUCCAGAGUACUACGGGACACGAGAAACCCUGUAGGAAGCCGGGGGACCACCCCCCAAGCCUAAAUACUCCCCAGUGACCGAUAGAGAAGCAGUACUGUGAAGGAAAGGUGAAAAGGACCCCGGGAGGGGAGUGAAAGAGAACCUGAAACCCCGUGCUUACAAACAGCCAGAGGGAAACUGAUGGCGUACUUUUUGUAGAACGGUCCGGCGAGUUACAAUUACUAGCGAGGUUAACUGUUAAUAAGGCAGGAAGCCGAAGGGAAACCAAGUCUGAAGAGGGCGAUAUAGUUAGUGAUAGUAGACCCGAAACCGGGUGACCUAUCCAUGUCCAGGUUGAAG
Molecule: ribosomal RNA, 909 nt
Filed under: Clostridium sp. MD294
Lineage: Bacteria; Bacillati; Bacillota; Clostridia; Eubacteriales; Clostridiaceae
Description: partial 23S ribosomal RNA
Rfam family: Bacterial large subunit ribosomal RNA (bases 169-909)
Source: RNAcentral